UACGUAGGGGGCGAGCGUUGUCCGGAGUUACUGGGCGUAAAGCGCUUGUAGGCGGUCCACCAAGUUUGGGGUGACAGUUGCCGACUUAAUCGGCAAAGUGCCUCAAAGACUGGCGGACUUGAGGGCCACAGAGGGACAUGGAACUCCAGGUGUAGUGGUGAAAUGCGUAGAUAUCUGGAAGAACACCAAAGGCGAAGGCAGUGUCCUGGGUGGUCGCUGACGCUGAGGAGCGAAAGCGUGGGGAGCGAACAGG
Molecule: ribosomal RNA, 253 nt
Filed under: uncultured bacterium
Lineage: Bacteria
Description: partial 16S ribosomal RNA
Rfam family: Bacterial small subunit ribosomal RNA
Source: RNAcentral